GGCUGGUCUGAGUGCAGAGGUGUUUGCAAAUAAUUGAUCACAACCAGUAAAAGAUUCCUGUGUUCCUUAUCCACUCCCACUGUUUCACUUGACUAGCCUAAA
Molecule: Y RNA, 102 nt
Filed under: Prolemur simus (greater bamboo lemur)
Lineage: Eukaryota; Metazoa; Chordata; Mammalia; Primates; Lemuridae
Description: Y RNA (ENSPSMG00000025218.1)
Rfam family: Y RNA
About the family: Y RNAs are components of the Ro ribonucleoprotein particle (Ro RNP), in association with Ro60 and La proteins. The Y RNAs and Ro60 and La proteins are well conserved, but the function of the Ro RNP is not known.
Source: Rfam by way of RNAcentral